RNAcentral lists this ribosomal RNA (612 nucleotides) under uncultured bacterium. Its description in RNAcentral is "bacterial SSU rRNA". It matches the Rfam family "Bacterial small subunit ribosomal RNA", at positions 28 to 635 of the family's 1533-position model. The record is from RNAcentral.
AUUGAACGCUGGCGGCAUGCUUUACACAUGCAAGUCGAACGGCAGCACGGGGGUAACCCUGGUGGCGAGUGGCGAACGGGUGAGGAAUACAUCGGAACGUAUCUUUAAGUGGGGGAUAACGCAUCGAAAGGUGUGCUAAUACCGCAUAAUCUCUGAGGAGAAAAGCAGGGGAUCGCAAGACCUUGCGCUAUUGGAGCGGCCGAUGCCUGAUUAGCUUGUUGGUGAGGUAAAAGCUCACCAAGGCUUCGAUCAGUAGCUGGUCUGAGAGGACGACCAGCCACACUGGGACUGAGACACGGCCCAGACUCCUACGGGAGGCAGCAGUGGGGAAUUUUGGACAAUGGGGGAAACCCUGAUCCAGCCAUGCCGCGUGAGUGAAGAAGGCCUUCGGGUUGUAAAGCUCUUUCAGCCGGAACGAAACGGUUACGGUUAAUACCCGUGACUACUGACGGUACCGGAAGAAGAAGCACCGGCUAACUACGUGCCAGCAGCCGCGGUAAUACGUAGGGUGCGAGCGUUAAUCGGAAUUACUGGGCGUAAAGCGUGCGCAGGCGGUUUUGUAAGUCAGAUGUGAAAUCCCCGGGCUUAACCUGGGAACUGCGUUUGAAACUG